This is a long non-coding RNA of Selaginella moellendorffii, 475 nucleotides long. RefSeq lists it as uncharacterized. Lineage: Eukaryota; Viridiplantae; Streptophyta; Lycopodiopsida; Selaginellales; Selaginellaceae. The record is from RefSeq and is a predicted model, not a curated record. The transcript has 2 exons.
AUCCCAGAGUGGCUCCACUGUCCUGCUUUGCUUUCCCUGUCUGGUCAUGGUUAAGGAUUUUUGCUUCCUGAAUCUGUUUCUUUCUUUCUGUGUGGAUAUCUGGUAAUCUCCGCAUCCUUGUGGUCAUUCUCACCCCUGUUUGCCCUUUGGCUGUGUUUAAUUCUGUGGCCAUUCCUCCAUAGACUUUAUUGUGCCUCUCACAGCAUCAGCACCAGCAGCGGGACUUCCUCCAGCCGAUUCUUAGGUGCCUGACAAGAUCGCCUGGGCCAAGAAGCUGAACGAGAACCUGACCGCAGAUUUUGCUGACGAUGGCACUGACUGGACAAGCCAUGCGACUUUUCGGGAGCUCCAUACUUCCGCUUUCUCUGGAAUGGAGUAAAACAUACAUGUACAUGGGUUGCUCACUCUUACAGAGAUAAAAAGUUUCGUAUCGGCCUUGAGACACGGCACUUUGGAUAAUGACAACCUUCCUCCA